RNAcentral lists this ribosomal RNA (253 nucleotides) under uncultured bacterium. Its description in RNAcentral is "partial 16S ribosomal RNA". It matches the Rfam family "Bacterial small subunit ribosomal RNA", at positions 524 to 776 of the family's 1533-position model. The record is from RNAcentral.
UACGGAGGGUGCAAGCGUUGUCCGGAAUCACUGGGCGUAAAGAGCGUGUAGGCGGUCAGGUAGGUCCGUUGUGAAAACUCGAGGCUCAACCUCGAGACGCCGAUGGAAACCAUCUGACUAGAGUCCGGAAGAGGAGAGUGGAAUUCCUGGUGUAGCGGUGAAAUGCGCAGAUAUCAGGAAGAACACCCGUGGCUAAGGCGGCUCUCUAGUACGGUACUGACGCUGAGACGCGAAAGCGUGGGGAGCGAACAGG